AGCUAGUAGUGGUUGUUAGUGCAUGCAAGAUUGGUCAAGUCGUGGAGAUAGUUAGUAGCCUAGAUAAAAGGUCCUAGUAAAUUUAGUCCUGAGUGCAUGGCGAGAUUUGCUGGCCGUUGGAGGAAGUGCUAGUCGUGGGCAUGCAUAUAGCUAAGAAUUAUGUAGUGGGCAGGUCAGGUUGUUAGUGGCCGGCGUCCAGUUUAUGCGUACAUGAGUCUUGUACUCCUAUAUAAGUUGAACAACUAAAUAUGAGGAGAGCCCGUGAGGGCACUAUCACAAUGUAGUCUUUGUGUUCAUCAAGGAAGUGUUCUGGGCAAAGCCCUUGGUCAUCUUCUUUGGUUGUGUGCGUGCGUGUGUGUGUUCUUGUGCUCUUGAGAAACCACAAGAGAGUUGAGUGGAAGAAGAAGAGGGGCGCUGCGACGAGGCGGCGCCAACAAUUGGUAUCAUGAGCCUGGUUAUCGUGGGCGUGGUUCACCAUGCCGGAGGUGUGCCGGCGAGGGCGGCGUUCGUCGGCGGCCGCACGAAGCUCCGAACCAUGUGUCGGCCUAUGGAGGUGCGCGGCGCUGCGGUUGCCAUGGCGGACACAGUGUGGCUGCGUGGCGGACUCCAUGUGAGGGGGGCGUCGGUGGCGCAAGGUGGACACCGUUGGCGGUGUGAUGCUGCUAGCGGCUGGUGUGUGUCUUCAUCAUUGUCGAGCCGCAUCACGAGUGAUGGAGCAAGGUAUGUCGCCUGGUAAGUUGUGUCACUGGCGGCAUGGAGGUGGUGGCCAUGGAGCGGAGGCCAUUGCCAUAAGGAGUUCCAUGUGCGAGUUGUCGACAAGGUGCGUCAUCGUCGACAACAUGGAGGUGAGUCAACGGCGAGUUGUGGCAUCGGUGGCGAACAUGGAGGUGAGUCACCGGCGAGUUGCGACACCGGUGGCGAAGAUGAAGGCGAGUCAUCGGCGAGUUGCGGCACCGGUGGCGAAUAUGCGACAACAAGUGUGUCACGUGGCACGCACGUGGUGAAGGCGUAGGAGGUGUGGCUCUCAUCGAAGCAAACGACAACGAUGACAAUCGGCGUGACAAGAUGACAUUGGCGGCCGUCUCCGUGUUACACCGGCGACAUCGAUGACCACGGGCUUCAGGAGAGAACUAAGUUAACAAGAUUAGGAAGGUGAAUGUUGGAACUAAUCUUGUUAUUACUGCUAAAAGUAGUUGAUUAGAUCAUGCAUGCAUGUAGUUGAGACGUGACACUAAAAGCUGCGGUUGUGUACGAACGUAGAGACGUGAUCACGUGUAUAUAGAAAGCUAGUAGUGGUUGUUAGUGCAUGCAAGAUUGGUCAAGUCGUGGAG
This 1331-nucleotide long non-coding RNA is filed under the name Hordeum vulgare. RNAcentral describes it as "long non-coding RNA (HVUL_LNC006232)". The record is from RNAcentral. Lineage: Eukaryota; Viridiplantae; Streptophyta; Magnoliopsida; Poales; Poaceae.